AGAGUUUGAUCCUGGCUCAGAUUGAACGCUGGCGGCAGGCCUAACACAUGCAAGUCGAGCGGAUGAAGGGAGCUUGCUCCCUGAUUCAGCGGCGGACGGGUGAGUAAUGCCUAGGAAUCUGCCUGGUAGUGGGGGACAACGUCUCGAAAGGGACGCUAAUACCGCAUACGUCCUACGGGAGAAAGCAGGGGACCUUCGGGCCUUGCGCUAUCAGAUGAGCCUAGGUCGGAUUAGCUAGUUGGUGAGGUAAUGGCUCACCAAGGCUGCGAUCCGUAACUGGUCUGAGAGGAUGAUCAGUCACACUGGAACUGAGACACGGUCCAGACUCCUACGGGAGGCAGCAGUGGGGAAUAUUGGACAAUGGGCGAAAGCCUGAUCCAGCCAUGCCGCGUGUGUGAAGAAGGUCUUCGGAUUGUAAAGCACUUUAAGUUGGGAGGAAGGGCAGUAAGUUAAUACCUUGCUGUUUUGACGUUACCGACAGAAUAAGCACCGGCUAACUUCGUGCCAGCAGCCGCGGU
This 518-nucleotide ribosomal RNA is filed under the name Pseudomonas sp. Hugh1953. Its description in RNAcentral is "bacterial SSU rRNA". It matches the Rfam family "Bacterial small subunit ribosomal RNA", at positions 8 to 521 of the family's 1533-position model. Lineage: Bacteria; Pseudomonadati; Pseudomonadota; Gammaproteobacteria; Pseudomonadales; Pseudomonadaceae. The record is from RNAcentral.